Molecule: RNA transcript, 931 nt
Organism: Vicugna pacos (alpaca)
Lineage: Eukaryota; Metazoa; Chordata; Mammalia; Artiodactyla; Camelidae
Gene name: large ribosomal subunit protein eL6 pseudogene
Source: RefSeq, a predicted model, not a curated record
GCCUUAGUUCUCUUUCCCAUCUUGCAAGAUGGCGGGUGAAAAAACGGAGAAGCCAGACACCAAGGAGAAAAAACCUGAAGCCAAGAAGGCUGAUGCUGGCGGCAAGGUUAAAAAGGCUAAGAAGGUUAAGAAGUGGAAGCCCCAUUGCAGCCACAACCCUGUCCUGGUCAGAGGAAUUGGCCAAUAUUCCCGAUCGGCUAUGUAUUCCAGAAAGGCCUUGUACAAGAGGAAGUAUUCAGCAGCUAAAUCCAAGGUUGAAAAGAAAAAGAAGGUGAGGGUUCUUGCUACUGUCACAAAACCAGUUGGUGGUGACAAGAACGGCGGUACCCGAGUGGUCAAGCUUCGCAAAAUGCCUAGAUAUUAUCCUACUGAAGAUGUGCCUCGAAAGCUGUUGAGCCAUUGCAAGAAACCCUUCAGUAAGCACGUGAGGAAACUGCGCGCCAGCAUCACUCCGGGGAACAUUCUCAUCAUCCUCACUGGGCGUCACAGAGGCAAGAGGGUCAUUUUCCUGAAGCAGCUGAGCAGUGGUUUGCUUCUUGUGACUGGACCUCUGUCCCUCAAUCAAGUUCCUCUGCGUAGAACACACCAGAAAUUUGUUAUUGCCACCUCCACCAAAAUUGACAUCAGUGGUGUAAAAAUCCCAGAACAUCUCACUGAUACUUACUUCAAAAUGAAGAAGCUGCGUAAGCCGAGACACCAGGAAGGCGAGAUCUUCGACACAGAGAAAGAGAAAUACGAGAUUACAGAGCAGCGCAAGGCUGAUCAGAAAGCUGUGGACUCACAAAUUCUGCGAAGAAUCAAAGCUGUCCCUCACCUCCAGGGCUACCUCCGCUCUGUGUUUGCUCUCACAAAUGGAAUUUAUCCUCACAAAUUGGUGUUCUAAACUUACUACAUAGAACCUAAUUAAAGAACGGAUCCAUUUCAAAAAAAA